RNAcentral lists this ribosomal RNA (327 nucleotides) under Triticum aestivum (bread wheat). RNAcentral describes it as "partial small subunit ribosomal RNA". Lineage: Eukaryota; Viridiplantae; Streptophyta; Magnoliopsida; Poales; Poaceae. The record is from RNAcentral.
AUGCUGACCCCAGAACGCGAAGACACCAUCUCUUGGCGUUGGACUCCAAACGGCACCUACUCCUCUGCCUCAGCCUACAUGGCCCAGUUCUGCGGAUCCUUCCCCAGGUUCACGCCGUCCAAGAUUUGGGAGGCCCAUGCAGAACCAAAGUGCAAACUCUUCUCCUGGCUGGUCCUCCAUGGGAAAACCCUAACGGCAGACAUGCUAGCUAUUCGUGGCUGGCCUCAUGACCCCAUCUGUCCUCUCUGCCUGCGGGCACCGGAAACUGCAAACCACUUGUGCAAGGACUGUCCGUUCGCGGUGGCGGUUUGGUCGCAUGUACAAUGA